GGGGUUGUGGCUUAGUGUUAGAGUGCUUGCCUCACAUGCAUGAGGCCCUGGGUUCAAUCCUCAGCACCACA
This 71-nucleotide transfer RNA is filed under the name Marmota monax (woodchuck). RNAcentral describes it as "tRNA.Val". It matches the Rfam family "tRNA". Rfam says of the family: Transfer RNA (tRNA) molecules are approximately 80 nucleotides in length. Their secondary structure includes four short double-helical elements and three loops (D, anti-codon, and T loops). Further hydrogen bonds mediate the characteristic L-shaped molecular structure. tRNAs have two regions of fundamental functional importance: the anti-codon, which is responsible for specific mRNA codon recognition, and the 3' end, to which the tRNAs corresponding amino acid is attached (by aminoacyl-tRNA synthetases). tRNAs cope with the degeneracy of the genetic code in two manners: having more than one tRNA (with a specific anti-codon) for a particular amino acid; and 'wobble' base-pairing, i.e. permitting non-standard base-pairing at the 3rd anti-codon position. Lineage: Eukaryota; Metazoa; Chordata; Mammalia; Rodentia; Sciuridae. The record is from RNAcentral.